GAGGGUAUAGCUUAAGUUGUAGAGUGCAAGCCUGGGAUGCAUGAGGUCCUGGGUUCAAUCCCCAGUACUUCCU
Molecule: transfer RNA, 73 nt
Filed under: Camelus bactrianus (Bactrian camel)
Lineage: Eukaryota; Metazoa; Chordata; Mammalia; Artiodactyla; Camelidae
Also listed under: 2 other names
Rfam family: tRNA
About the family: Transfer RNA (tRNA) molecules are approximately 80 nucleotides in length. Their secondary structure includes four short double-helical elements and three loops (D, anti-codon, and T loops).
Source: Rfam by way of RNAcentral